CUGGAGUCGUUUUCGGCUUUCGGUUGUUUKCUUGGCCUUCGAGCCAUGUAGGCGGCUGAUUGCUGUGGCGGUUUCGGGGAUGUUUAUCGUAAAGGUGCAUGAGUGGUGUUUGGAUUGAUACGGGUGGUCGGCUCCCUGCUUGAGCAGGCACGGCCAUGCGUACAUUCCUCUUCAGUUAUUCGGCAGGGCUUGUAUUGCCUUGACCAUAUAUGUGGGUUUCUUGUGUUGCAUACCUGAUCAAUGGCAUCGUCUUGAUCAAAAUAGUCCCUUUUUUGUCAAGCGCCGCUCUUGUGACGUCGGACGAACUAAGUAGCACCCUUUUUGAUCCAUCUCGUUGAUGAGCAUUUGUUGAUGGUUUGGCCCAUUGAGGGAUGCUUGGUCUCUUGGAUAUGGAAGCCAAAGYGGCAUGGGUUCGUAUGAUCCUUUUACUGCCCUCGUUGAGCKUUCUUGCUUCUUUAAAACGACUGUCUCUCACGUAUGGCAUGUCCCAGCGUGUUUGGCUAUGUCGAAGAGGAAUGCUACC
RNAcentral lists this unclassified non-coding RNA (523 nucleotides) under Llerasia macrocephala. Its description in RNAcentral is "partial external transcribed spacer". The record is from RNAcentral. Lineage: Eukaryota; Viridiplantae; Streptophyta; Magnoliopsida; Asterales; Asteraceae.